GAGGUAUAAAGGUAGUGAGUUAUCUCAAUUGAUUGUUCACAGUCAGUUACAGAUUGAACUCCUUGUUCUACUCUUUCCUCCCUUCUCCUACUGUACUUGACUAGUCUAAA
RNAcentral lists this Y RNA (110 nucleotides) under Carlito syrichta (Philippine tarsier). RNAcentral's name for it is "Y RNA (ENSTSYG00000022530.2)". It matches the Rfam family "Y RNA". Rfam says of the family: Y RNAs are components of the Ro ribonucleoprotein particle (Ro RNP), in association with Ro60 and La proteins. The Y RNAs and Ro60 and La proteins are well conserved, but the function of the Ro RNP is not known. In humans the RNA component can be one of four small RNAs -- hY1, hY3, hY4 and hY5. The record is from RNAcentral. Lineage: Eukaryota; Metazoa; Chordata; Mammalia; Primates; Tarsiidae.